UCUGCAACUCGACUCCAUGAAGUCGGAAUCGCUAGUAAUCGUGGAUCAGAAUGCCACGGUGAAUACGUUCCCGGGCCUUGUACACACCGCCCGUCACACCAUGGGAGUGGGCUGCAAAAGAAGUAGGUAGUUUAACCUUCGGGGGGACGCUUACCACUUUGUGGUUCAUGACUGGGGUGAAGUCGUAACAAGGUAGCGCUAGGGGAACCUGGCGCUGGAUCACCUCCUUA
Molecule: ribosomal RNA, 230 nt
Filed under: Vibrio parahaemolyticus
Lineage: Bacteria; Pseudomonadati; Pseudomonadota; Gammaproteobacteria; Vibrionales; Vibrionaceae
Description: partial 16S ribosomal RNA
Rfam family: Bacterial small subunit ribosomal RNA
Source: RNAcentral